ACAGAUUCGGGGAUAACGCCGGAGAGGUUAUUCUUGGAAACGUCCACUUCAGAAACGUUUGGAAUUUUUCCGAGUUGAGAAGGUAUGGUGCCAUUUAUGAAGUUAUGGCUUAAAUCAAGUUGUCUCAGAUGUAUAAGGUUGCCUAUCUCCGAUGGAAUGCUUCCGCUUAAACUGUUGUGGUUUACUGCCAAGUUCUGUAACUGCGAGCAAUUCAUGAGUUCUGGAGGAAUGGAGCUGUUGAGCUGAUUAUAACCAAGAUUCAAAGAGGUGAGGUUGGUUAAAUAACCAAUUGUUGGAGGAAUGGGUCCAAUUAGGUUGUUCCUAUCAAGAGACAGAGAAUCAAGAUACUUCAGAUUUCCGACUUCUCGAGGCAGCAGACCACUUAGUUGGUUUGAAGAAAGAUCUAGAGAUGUUAAGUAGGUUAAAUUUCCUAUGGUCGGUGGAAUUGGACCAUCAAGUCUGUUGUGAGACAAGCGCAACUCAUCCAACAAGUUUAAAAAACCAAUGGUCGAAGGAAUAGGUCCAGUGAGAUUGUUCCUAUUUAGAAGCAGAGAAUCAAGAUUCUUCAGAUUUCCAACUUCUUUAGGCAGUGGACCAACAAGAUUGUUGUAAGCCAAGUACAAAGUACUUAACUGAUUUAAAUGAUAAAGCGUUGAAGGAAUAGGCCCAGUUAGAUUGUUAUUAUCCAGAAACAGAGACACAAGAUUCUUCAGAUUUCCAACUUCUUGAGGCAGCCGACCACUAAGUUGGUUUAAAGAAAGGUCCAAAUGUGUCAAGUUAGUUAAAUUACCUAUGGUCGAUGGAAUUAGACCAUCCAGUUUGUUGCCCUGCAACCUCAGGUCAUAAAGAUCCUUCAAAUUCCCAAAUUCUAAUGGGAUAGAACCAUUGAGAAUGUUAUAAGACAGAUUCAGUUCGAGAAGAUCCCUCAAACUCCCGAUCUCUGAAGGGAUAGUACCUAUCAUAUAUAUAUAUAUACAUGCAAAUGAUUAAUUAAUGAUAAAUGAGCAAUAUUAUCCAGUACCGAUAGGAAAUUAUUGUAUAUGCAAUGAAAUUAUAUAUAAUAGUUACCUGUAAGACGGUUAUAGGACAGGUCAAGCACUUUGAGUCUUGAAAGAGCACCAAUUUCUGAUGGUAUCCUUCCGGAGAGAAAACGAGUGCCCCAAAUUCUGAAAGUUACGAGGUUGGGAAAGCAAGUGAAGUUGAGUUGGCUAAGCUCUGCUGCGUUGCCAUUAUUAUCCAUCUCGUCAGAACUUAUCUCAACUAUGCUUCCUGCUGAAUUGCAAGUGAUUCCCAUCCACUUGCAAUGAUCUGAAGUAUAGUUGGCCGUCGCCCGACUGCUAUUCCACCAGCCUGAAUUAAGUAAAGCUUCCCUUUCUAACUGUAAGGCUGACGAUGCAUCAGAUGCUGUUAGAACUGCAUUAUCAGUUAUAACAGGAACAAUAAUACUGCUUAUAAAAGUUAUAAUGACCACCAAUUUUGAAAUGGAGAAAUCCGGUGCCAUUUUUGUAAGUUUUUGGUUGAUUAGAUUCAGCGGGUGCAUGCCUGCUUUUAUAACUAAACAUUAAGUUUGACAGCAACACUCAAUCAUUUUUAGCCCGCGUUGAGCUUUCUCCCUCAUCGUCAAAAUUGGCAUGCGCGUUAUCAAACACAAGAGUCAGUUGAGUUAAUGUCUUUUUAGGCCACUAAUUCCUAUUUUUAAUUAAUUUCGCAAAGUAAAGGCUACAUGUGAUUCAUAUUCUAGCAACUUUCUAUUUCUUUCUUUACUUUUUAGUCCACUUUCCAUUCUCCCAAUUACUUUUCUAGAAUGGAGGAUUAUAUAUAUUCUAGUAACUUUCUUUUUCUUUCUUUUCCUUUUGGUACAUACUUUAUGCCCGAAUUUAGACCCCGACCGAAUUCCACCAAAUUGUUUUUGUUCUUUUCUUUUUUGUAAUUUUUUUUUUCGCCUUUAUAUGGGUUCAUUUGGGAUUUAUGUUCGGGGCGUAUAGGCAUAGCAUUGCUCUUUACUUUGUGUCCACUUUCCUUCAUCAUCAAAAUAUUCGAUAAUGUCGGGAAAUAUUAAAAUUUGUUCUUAAUUAACAAAGAAUUAAGCCGACUACCAUAUUUCGCCAAAAGUCAAAGGAAAAAUUUCCAUUCUCCGGUACAACAUAUUCUAUAAUUUAUAGUAAUUGUCUAUUUGGUAAUGCGAACGGUUAUUUACACUAAGCAAUAUUUUGAAUAUUUUGAGACCCAAGUCAUACUCAAUGCUAAAAAUAAAAUAAAUAUUUUUUCUUCGUACAGAAAAAAAUAUAAAUUACCAACAUGUGAUAGGAGUUCAUCGAUACUUAUAUCAUUAUCAUCAUCCAAACCUAUAUUUGCAUCGUCAAUUUGUCGAUCUAGAAAUGAGACUAGUACCUAUGUGCUUAAUAAAAAAAAUUAUUAAAAAAAUAUUACCUUUCAAGUAAUACAUUAUUUUGUUGUGUAUUAUAUACUAAAUCAAUGAUGUAUUCUAAAUAGAUGUUCACCCUCAAGUGGUAUCAGAUAUCUACAUCUAAAAUGAUGUGUCUUAAAAUUUAAUGAGAAAAAUAUACAUAUAUUCUAAGGUUUGGGGAAAUAACAUGCAUGAACCUUACCAUAUAAUAUAACUUUAUGAUCGCAUUUUGGUGGAUAUUAUGUAAUUCAUUAACUUUGUUGUCUAUUAUAUACUAUAUUAAUGAUGAAUUCUAACUAGAUGAAAUUCACUCCCAAGUAGUGUCUGAUAUGGCCAUAUCCAUGUGUCCUAUAACUUUACUGAAACAAAUUUUGGGGAAUUUAAGAAUCUUUUUCUUUUUAUAUUUAGGAAAAUUAAUAAUUCGAAGUAGCUGCCAUUUUAGUUGUGUUUAAAAUUGAUUGUCUUAAAAAUUUGGAAAAUAUAUGGGAAAAUUUUCAAAAUGAUAAAAGGGAUAAUGUAGACUGACACGUUUAAACAUGUGAACUCAUUAGUCGCCAAUUAUUUGAAACGCACGGCCAGGGGAUGCCGGGUGAUUAAACACGUGAGUAGAAAACUUUUCAGGUCACUGGCUUUUUCUGAGCCGACCACAAAUUAAAGCAAAAUUGGAGUCAAGGUCUUGCAGACAAGGAAAAGAAGACGUGUGUGUACUGCGAGUUCACAUUUGAGGGUUGACUGACAAAUUUGUCCCUUGUCAAGCUCGUCAAAGAAGCACCUAUAAAUUUCACUUGAGAAUAUAUAUAUUUUAUAUUUAUCCAAAGUGAAGGAUUUAAUUAAACAAAAUUCAGUCUCACGAAUGUUAAUAUACCGAAAAAAGUUAUACAAAAACCACUAUCAAAAUUUUGGAUAAUCUUGAGAAAUUUUAAAAUUUGUUCUUAAUUAACAAAGAAUUACGCCCAAUACCAUAUUUCGCCAAAUCUCAAAGGAAAAUUUUCCACUUUUCCGGUACAAUAUUUUCUAUAAUUUACGGUAAUUAUUAAUUGGUAAUGCCAAUGGUUUUUUACACUAAACAAUAUUUUCAGACCCAAGUCAUACACAAUGCUAAAACCAAAGUAAAUAUUUUUUUUUCAUUUGUACAGAAAAAAUAUAAAUUACCAAGUUCAUCAAUACUUAUUUCAUUUAUCAUCAUCCGAAUCUAUAUUUGCAUCAUCAAUUGUCGAUCUACAAAAGAGAAAUCAAAGAUGUUAAAAAUAUUUCUAAUAAUAAGAUAAAAAUUAAAUAUAAAGACUAGUACCUAGGUGUUUGAAUUAAAAAUAAUAAUCAUUAAAAAAUAUUACCUUUCAAGUAGUACAUAAUUUUAUUGUGUAUUAUAUACUACGUUAAUGAUGUAUUCCAAAUAGAUGAAACUCAUUCCCAAGUUGUGUCCAAUAUGGUGAUAUCCUUGUGUCUUACAAUUCCCAUAGGAUGCUAGAGCCAUAUGGAAGCAUAUAGAAGAUUGAUUGGUCGUGAUUAUUAACACUUUUGAAGGUUUAUUCUAUAUACAUGAUCAGCUGAACUUGUUCUCUUUAAUUUUCAUAAAUGCAUUGACACAGUUUUUACUUUUUGAUCAUUGGAUAUCCCUGACUUUAAGUUCAUCGAAUUCUAAACUAGGGAAUGCUGUUUGACUUACAACCAUAAUAGUUAGGAAGGUUAUAACUAGAUGGUCACAAUGGUUUUCAAUCACCGAUUGCUUUCUUACGGAACAGAAAAGAAAGGAAAGAUCAUAACUUCUCCCUCACCACCUUGUGUUAAUUGUCACUACUUAUUGUGGUUUAUUUUAUUUUUCAAAUCACAUUUGGUGACGGUUUCCAAUUCCACCAGCCGCAGAAAUCAAGUUGUAAUUCUAUUGUUUACAGAAUUUCAUUUCUGUUUACCAUUCAUCCUUGUAAUAUCAUAACAAGCAAUGUCAUACUUUUUACUUUUCAUAUUCUCAAAGUUCUUCAAAUCUUUUUAUUUCAAAUUGAAUGAAACAUUAAUUCUCAUUGGAUAAUCAACAUAUACUUGUCUUAGAGUCCUCAGGUGGACAACUUUUGGGGUUUUGGGUCCUCAUUUGUUGUACUAGUUGGUUCUUGAGGUAAAUAAAUCCAGGAUUCCUGAUAUUGAACAUUCAAUUUUCAUGUCUGAAACUUCCAAUAUCCAAAUUCACUCAUGCAAUACAACUACUCUAUUUUAAAUCAACUAGAUGGUUUCAGAUACAGAUUUUGUAUUUCCAACAUAAAAAAUCAUGCAAGCUUUUGAUACCCAAAAGACCAUGAUUGGAUUUUUUCUUCUCCCCUCCUCUCCCCUGUAUUGUCAAGUCAUCCAUAAAUUUUCUGCAAUGUCAGACUGUGCAAAAGGUAAUUUUAUCAGUGUAAGUGCUUGCAUUGUUCAUUUCUUCAGACAGCCAUUUACUGUGUCCAACAAUUCAUGCUGUGUUCACUAAUUAAAGCAACUACGGGUCAAGGUCAUUUUAAGUCGGGAAAAUGACUAGGGUGGUGUGAAUUCACACAUGAAACUUAAUUGGCAUAUUUGUCACUCGGCAAGCUCAAUGGACCCCUUUCAAAUUCACUUUAGAAUCUUUAUUUAUUCUUUAACCAAAGAUAAGGAUUUAAAUACAAAAAAUUCAGCCUCACGAAAGUUAUACAAAAAGCUAUUAAUGAAAUACAUUCAAGAUUAACAAUCACAUUGAUCAAUCAAAUACAUGCAUUGUUUCAUAAGUUCUGAUAUGGAAAUUUCUUCAACAACAGGUUUUCCCAAUGGUGAUUUCCCUGUGAGAAAUUCUUGAGAUACGCGUUGCAUGGUAGGUCGAGACUUGGGUUUUGACUGCAAGCAUGCAAAUGCAACUAUUGAAACAAGAAUAAUAACCUGAACAACCUUUUGAUCAAGUGGAGAUGGCAGACGUUGGUCUAAAAUAUCUAUCAACCUAAUCUUUCGUUCAGAUGAUGACGAUAAAGAUGAAAGAAGAUCUCCUGGAUGACUUCCCAUUAAUACUUCUAGUGCCACCACUCCAAAGCUAUAAACAUCACAUUUCUCUGUCACAGCCAUGGUGUAUGCAAGUUCUACAACAAAAUAGAACCCAUUGUAGAAUUUCUUUGCACAAGCAAAAAACAAAAUAUAUAUAUAUUUGAUUCACUGUUUCUGGAAGCUUCUGCAGCAAGAUAUUUAAGAGAUAUCUAAUUGAUUUUUAAAUACAUUCAAUGUGUAAACAUGAGUAAGAAGCAUGAAAAGAAUAGCUAAAGUUUACCUGGAGCAAUAUAUCCAUAUGUCCCCACCACUAGAGUUCUGUUGGAGGAAUCUGGAUGCAGGAGCCUAGCCAAACCAAAAUCAGCAACAAAUGCCUCUAGGUUUGAGUUAAGUAGAAUGUUAUUGCUGGAUAUGUCGCGGUGAACAAUUGAUGGCUUGCAGUCAUAAUGCAGGUAAGACAAAGCAUGAGCCAUACUCUUUACAAUGUUCACUCUCUUUGUCCAAUCCAGCUCAACAGCUUCAACGUCAUUGCGUAACACACAGAACAAGCUUCCCCGCUCCAUGUACUCAUAGAUCAAAAACAUGCACUUGUUGUGCAAACAAAAACCAUAAAGCUUCACUAUAUUACGAUGCCGUAUUUGGGAGAGUAGACGAGCUUCAGUUUGGAAACUUUCCAGGAAAGCUGGCUCCUCUGUCUCCGAACGGUGAAGUUUCUUCAAAGCGACUACUCUUCCACUGGACAAUUGUGCUCUGUAAACACUGCCAUAACCUCCGGUUCCAAUGCAAUAUUUGAUGUGGAAAUCCUCUGUCGCUUGAAUCAUCUCUUCAAAUGUAAUUCUACCAUCAUAAUUCCAUAUGGAGAACUCAUUAGCCCCCUCGGUCAUUUCUCGGGUAUUAGGAUUAAAUUUCUUAUCCUUUCGUCUAUGGACAAACAAGAUACCAAAAAUUAAGAUUGCGAAAAUAAAUGCCACCAUAGCGAGAAUGAUUGUGACCAAGCGAGUGACGAUCUUUUGCUGCUUCCCUUUGUUGCCCUUAAACUGUUUUGCUUGGGGUGGCGGUGCAUUUUCUGAACCAGUUGAGUUUUCUAACUCUAGAUUAUUUUCUGACACUAUCAAUUUGGGAAUUCUUCUGACAGAUGCAGGGAUAACGCCGGAGAGGUUAUUCUUGGAAAGAUCCACGGCAGAAAUGUUUGGAAUUUUUCCGAGUUGUGAAGGUAUCGUGCCAUUUAUGAAGUUACGGCUUAAAUCAAGUUGUCUCAAAAAUAUAAGGUUGCCUAUCUCCGAUGGAAUGCUUCCGCUUAAACUGUUGUGGCUUAAUACCAAGUUCAGUAACUGCGAGCAAUUCAUGAGUUCUGGAGGAAUGGAGCUGCUGAGCUGAUUAUAACCAAGAUUUAAAGAGGUGAGGUUGGUUAAAUAACCAAUUGUUGGAGGAAUGGGUCCAAUUAGAUUGUUCCCGUCAAGGGACAGAGAAUCAAGAUACUUCAGAUUUCCAACUUCCCGAGGCAGCAGACCACUAAGUUGGUUUGAAGAAAGAUCCAGAGAUGUUAAUUUGGUUAAAUUUCCUAUGGUCGGUAGAAUUGGACCAUUAAGUCUGUUGUGAGACAAGUCCAACUCAUCCAACAAGUUUAAAUAACCAAUGGUCGAAGGAAUAGAUCCAGUGAGAUUGUUCCUAUUCAGAAGCAAACGAUCAAGAUUCUUCAGAUUUCCAACUUCUUUAGACAGUGGACCAACAAGAUUGUUGUAAGCCAAGUACAAAAUGCUUAACUGAUUUAAAUGAUAAAGUGUUGAAGGAAUAGGCCCAGUUAGAUGGUUAUUAUCCAGAAACAGAGCGUCAAGAUUCUUCAGAUUUCCAACUUCUUGAGGCAGCCGACCACUAAGUUGGUUUAAAGAAAGGUCCAAAUGUGUCAAGUUAGUUAAAUUACCUAUGCUCGAUGGAAUUAGACCAUCCAGUUUGUUACCCUGCAACCUCAGUUCAUCAAGAUCCUUCAAAUUCCCAAAUUCUAAUGGGAUAGAACCAUUGAGAAUGUUAUUAGACAGAUCCAGUUUGAGAAGAUUCCUCAAACUCCCAAUCUCCGCGGGGAUAGUACCUAUCGUGUGUAUAUAUAUGCAUAUGAUUAAUUAACGAUAAAUAAGCAAUAAUAUCCGGUACAGAUAGGAAAUUAUUGUAUAUGCAAUGAAAUUAUAUAUAAUGGUUACCUGUAAGACUGUUAUCGGACAGGAAAAGCUCCUCGAGUUUUGAAAGAGCACCAAUUUCUGAUGGCAUCCUUCCUGAAGAAAAAAAGGAAAACAAAAAUAAUGUGUAUGAUUAAUUAAUGAUAAAUGAGCAAUAUUAUCCAGCACCGAUAGGAAAUUAUUGUAUAUGCAAUGAAAUUAUAUAUAAUGGUUACCUGUAAGACUGUUAUAGGACAAGUGAAGCUCCUCGAGUUUUGAAAGAGCACCAAUUUCUGAUGGCAUCCUUCCUAACGAAAAAAAGGAAAAAAAAUAAUGUGUAUGAUUAAUUAAGGAUAAAUGAGCAAUAUUAUCCAGUACGGCUAGGAAAAUAAUGUGUAUGCAUUGAAAUUAUAUAUAAUAGUUACCUGUAAGACGGUUAGAGGACAGGUCAAGCACUUUGAGUCUUGAAAGAGCACCAAUUUCUGAUGGUAUCCUUCCGGAAAGAAGAGUGCCCCGAAUGCUGAAAGUUACGAGGUUGGGAAAGCAAGUGAAGUUGAGUUGGCUAAGCUCUGCUCCGGUGAAAUUAUUAUCCAUCUCGUCAGAACUUAUCCAGACUACGCUUCCUGCUGAAUUGCAAGUGAUUCCUAUCCACUUGCAAUGAUCUGAAGUAUAGUUGGCCGUCGCCCGACUGCUAUUCCACCAGCCUGAAUUAAGUAAAGCUUCCCUUUCUAACUGUAUGGCUGACGAUGCAGCAGAUGCUGUUACAACUGCAUUAUCAGUUAUAACAGGAACAAUAAUACUGCUUAUAAAAGUUAUAAUGACCACCAAUUUUGAAAUGGAGGAAUCCGGUGCCAUUUUUAUAAGUUUUUGGUUGAUUAGAUUCAGCCAGUGCGUGCCUGCUUUUAUAACCAAACAUUAAGUUUGACGGCAACACUCAAUCAUUUUUAGCCCGCGUUGAGCUUUCUCCCUCAUCGUCAAAAUUGGCAUACGCGUUAUCAAACACGAGGGUCAGUUGAGUUAAUGUCUUUUUAGGCCACUAAUUCCUAUUUCUAAUUAAUUUCGCAAAUUAAAGGCUACAUGUGAUUCAUUAAUUUUGUUGGCAUACGCGUUCUAAAUAGAUGAAAGUCACUCCCAAGUAGUGUAUGAUAUGCCGAUAUCCAUGUGUCUUAUAACUUUACUGAAAUAAAUUUUGGGGAGUUUAAGUAUCUUUUUCUUUUAUAUUGAUGAGAAUUAAUAAUUCAAACUAGCUGUCAUUUUAGUUGUGUUUAAAAUUAAUUGUCUUAAGAAUUUGGAAAAUAUAUGGAAUGCCGUGUGAUUAAACACGUGAGUAGAAAACUUUUCAGGUCACUGGCUUUUUCUGAGGCGACCAUAAAUUAAAGCAAAAUUGGAGUCAAGGUCUUGUAGACAAGGAAAAGAAGACGCGUGUACUGCGAGUUCACAUUUGAGGGUUGAUUGACAUAUUUGUCCCUUAUCAUGCUCGUCAAAGAAACACCUAUAAAUUUCACUUGAGAAUAUAUAUAUUUUAUAUUUAUCCAAAGUAAAGGAUUUAAUUCAACAAAAUUCAGUCUCACGAAUAUUAAUAUACGGAAAAAAGUUAUACAAAAACCACUAUCAAAAUUUUGGAUAAUCUUGAGAAAUUUUAAAAUUUUUUCUUAAUUAACAAAGAAUUAUUCCCAAUACCAUAUUUCGCCAAAUCUCAAAAGGAAAAUUUUCCACUUUUUCAGUACAAUAUUUUCUAUAAUUUACGGUAAUUAUCUAUUGAUAAUGCCAAUGGUUUUUUACACUAAACAAUAUUUUCAGACCCAAGUCAUACACAAUGCUAAAACGAAAGUAAAUAUUUUUUUUUCAUUCGUACGGAAAAAUAUAAAAUACCAAGUUUAUCAAUACUUAUAUCAUUUAUCAUCAUCCGAAGCUGUAUUUGCAUCAUCAAUUGUCAAUCUACAAAAGAGAAAUCAAAGAUGUUAAAAAUAUUUCUAAUAAUAAAAUAAAUAAUUAAAUAUAAAGACUAGAAUCUAGGUGUUUGAAUUAAAAAAAAAUUAUUAAAAAAAAUUACCUUUCAAGUAGUACAUAAUUUUGUUGUAUAUUAUAUACUAAUACUACGUUAAUGAUGUAUUCUAAAUAGUUGAAGUUCACUCUCAAAUGGUGUUUGAUAUCUACAUCUGAAUGACACGCAUGAACCUUGCCUUGCAGCGUAACCUCGUGAUUGCAUUUUGCUGGAUAUUUUAAAAUAAAUUAAUUUCGUUGUCUAUUAUAUACUAUAUUAAUAGAUGAAACUCACUCUCAAGUAGUGUCCAAUACGGCGAUGUCCAUGUGCCUUACAAUUUCACUGAAACAAAUUUUGGGGAGGUUUUAAGUUCCUUUUUCGUUUAUAUUUAUAUUUAUGAGAAUUAAUAAUUCUAACCAGCUGUCAUUUUAGUUGUGUUUAAAAUUUGAUGUUUCAAAAAUCUGGAAAAAUAGAUGGAAGAAUUUUCAGAUGAUACCCCCCGUCAAAGGGAUAAUGUAGACUGACACGUUUAAACAUUUGAACUCGUCAGUCGCCAAUUACCUGAAACCCACGGCCACGUCUAUUAGACAAUUUAAAAAAAAAAAAUUGUGUACUGCAGAUACUAAUGAAAUUCAAAGGACCACCAAUUAAUUCAGGUUAGAAAAGUUUUUUUUUUUUUUAAAUUACAAGACAAGGAUUUAAUCAAACAAAAUUCAGUCUGAAAAAAAUUAUACAAACUACUAUCAGCAAAAUACAUUCAAGAUUAACAAUCACAUUAAUUUUAAUCUAGCAUCUUUUUCUUUUUCCUCCUUUCUCUUUUUCCGUCUUUACUUUUUAGUCCGCUUUCCUUUCUCCAAAUUACUUUUCUUCAUUUUCCACAGAACACAUAAAAAAAUUGGACCAUCUUGAGAGUCCAGAAAUAUUAAAUUUUUGGAAUCCACAAAAAAUUAAAUAUUUUUGUCAUAAUGUUGUAGACUUUUGUUCUUCUAUCAUUUUCACAAAUUUAUUGAGAAGGCCAAGUACCACCAUAUUUAAUCAAAAGUCAUAAAGAAUUUUUUUAUAUAUUUUAUUAUGCAAAAAGGACUACUGUUCCUAAAAAUUUAACCGAGUGACUUUUUAAUUAUUUUAUUUAACUGAUUAUCCAAGUUCGAAUAUUUCUAGAUGACUCUUAACCCUAAAACCAGAUGUGGGCUAUUCACAUCCCCCAUCUGUCCAUUGAAAAGGGCAAAUUUUGUUUUCAACUAAGCAGCCCCUUUGUGGCUUGUAUCGAUGUACGUUUAACAUUGUCGCUCUAAUUUGAUCCUAAUAUGCGCUAAUGCAAAACGAUAUGCAUUGGAACUCUGUGAACUUACAGUAACAAUUUGUUUAAACUUAUGCAGACUACUUAACUAACCAGUCAAAUAGAGUGUCAAAUAAAAUUUUAAUAUUUGGUUAAGAGACCAAAAGAGUUCAUAAAUAUUGUUUUUUUUUUACCAAUUAAGAAGAUUAAAAUGAAUGGCAUAUUUUGCACAGAAUUAAUAUGCUUAUUCAAAUUUAACAAUAUAGUGGGCUUUUUCAAAUUUCAAAUGUGUAGAUGGGGCUAAAUGCCUAAACCACAACUUUCCUUAUUAUUUUCAUUGAAUCAUCAGAGCUCUGAACAAAUUUGAAAAUAUUUUCUGAGUCUCUUCUUCAUCAUUUAGUUUAUACUUCAACUGACCAUUAGAAGCCAUUCAGUUUCUGUACGAUCAUGCAAAAGGGUUAGAAAGUAAUUACAAUCAAUAUUUGUGUACUUCAGAAUUUGAACCUUAAUGAGCAAUUAACCAAGAGUUGUUAAUUUCUCUUCCUUUCCAAAAUUCUGUUAGAAUUGUCAAUUGUUACGGCAUAUGGGUGUAAAGAUUUUCUGAUAAUAAAAGUUAAAAUUAUGGGGUGGGUUUUUAUAAGAAUUUUGGAGGGGUGUAAGAAGCCCCACUCUAGUCAUAAAUGAAGCCAUGACUUGGAGUAAUGGAAUACAGAGCCCAUUAACCCUAAAGGCCUUAAACUAACCCAAGAUGCUUUAAAGUGAUAAUUAAGAUGUGAGACAAGCUCGCUCUAUCACUAAAGCAUGUUUGGUUUAUUAUACGUUGUAAGCCCAUCAAUUUUUGAAGUUGUUUACUAUUGCAUUUCAUCUAAAACCUGUAUUUGGUUUAUUAUACGUUGUUUUCAAAGUCGUUGACAAUCAACGGGGCAAUACCGAAAUAGAUAGUCCUAGCCGCCUAGGCGCGCGCGCGCAAAAGAAAAAAAAAGGAUAAUGUAUUACAAAAUCACUGAUGCAUGGAAGAUCCUAGUUUUGUAGUGAGAGUAAAAGAAUUGAGCUUGAAACUAUUUUUUUGUUGAUAUUUUUAAUGAAACGCUUCGAAGAAAACAUAGAUGGAGGGAAGCAAAAUGGUUGAAGUAAGCAAGCUGUGUAGUGAGAACUGGAGGCACAUCAAGCAUGAAUAGAAUGUGUGUGUGUGUUAAUAAAGCGAGGAUUGAUUCAGGCUAGCAAAAGUAUUCUUCAUAGUCAUUGUCAGUGUAGUGUAGUAUGCCUUUAUUCUUAACUAGAUUUUAGUCCUUAUCUCCCCCAAGAUUCAACCGCAGGUGGCUAGUUAUAGAAAGUUAUUUAAAAAUCACUCAGACAAACUUCUAGUGAUAAUUGAACUUAAAUUUAACUUUAAUAUCUUAUUAGAAAAGUUCAAUACGGCUUUAAUAGAGUGGAAAACGUUUAUUUUCCCCCAGGAAAAAUGUAUAAUAAGUUCUUUUACAUAGACUCCAUAACCAAAUUAGACAAGUAAAUAAUCAAUUACGGAAUUAAGAGCUUGGUUUAACAAGGUCAGCAUGAAGAAACUACAAAUUUGAGGCUAAAAAUCUAGAAAUGGAGGCCAAAACAUAAGAUUUUCAAAGAAUGACCAGAUUUCAAUUAGAUCCCAGGGAACAUUAACCCAGUUUACUGCUUAUUGUAGACCUCUUUGUUUACAUGAAUUAAUGUUUAAUAGCCUUUAGGAUCUCAAGCCUGACCCUUACAACUACAUAUGAAUUCAUUUAAUUAACAAUCUGUACGUAUUAGCAGCUAGUGAAGUAGAAAAUGCCCGUGACUAGUGCUUUAGUUUCUUUAAAAUCCGGAGACAAAGAGUUGUUCUGAGUAUUUUAUAAUUUUUUUUUUUUCACAUGAGACACCAUUCAAGACAAUGUCCAUGUGGUGUGAAGGCCAAAAUCCCCCGUGAACCUGGCAAUUAUUGUCUUUUUUAGCAUUUUAAUAUAAUCAGUUUGUAUUUAAAUUACUAUUUGAUCGAUUAAAAUUUGAAUAAUUUUACAGCUACCCUAACACAGGAGUGUUUGAAAUAUUUGGUAAUCAAGUUAUACCAAGUGCAGCUCAAGUUCUUACAUUAAUCAAGUGAGCAGAAUUUCUGUGCAGAAGGGGCAUCUUUGGGAAUUAAACUGUACUGCAUGAGAUCGAAUUAAUUUUCGAACCAUACAUCAUUGGAAAGAUAUUUCUGUUAGCUUUCCAAUGAAUUUUACUAAUCUAAAUUUGGAGUUUUCUACAGUAAGUUAUGAUCAGUUAAGUGCAGACUGUUCAGUUUUGAGUCAAGAAGAAUAUUUCGGGACUUAGAUUUUUUUAAUGUUCUUUGUUGUGUUUUAAGCAUACCAAUGUUUUAUUAAUGUCUAGCUUUAAUGUUGGUCUUUAAAGUCAAGUUAUUUGAAGGGUUUCUUUGUAGUAAAUCUAUGCUUGGAGGAUUGUUCCAAGAAAGUUAUUUAAGCUUAUGUAGUUGUAACAAAAAGACAGAGAUUAAUUUUGGAAAUUGAAUGAACUUUGAGCUAUUAUCAAACUCUGUAUCUCUUUGGUGGAUUCCAUUGAGUGGUGAGUGUUUUAAGCUCUGUAUCCGUAGCUUAACAACUUUAGGUGGUGAAUAUUUUUCUGUAUCCUUUUGUUGUUUGCUGUGGUGGUGAGCUUGUGAUUUCUUGAGUGUGUGACGUUGUGCUUUCUCAUCUAUUGUGUCCGGUGUCAAAUUUGGUAUCAGAGCAUUGGGUUCUGAAAUUUAUGGCUCAACGACGUCAGCGUAAUGCAAGAGUUGCAGAGCCUCCUGUUCGUGAGAGGGACUUGGGUGAUAUAGAAAGGGAUGAUCUUAGAAGACAAGUAGAACAUCUUCAGCAACGAUUACAACACCUUGAAGGAACUCAAGAAGCUGCUCCUAAUGGUAGUUCAGAAGAAGAAGGCUCAAUCAAUGACGGGGUAGAUUAUAAUCCCUUCCAUCAGGAACAAAGCUCCAAUAGUGAAUUUUCUUCUCGUUCUCGAAUUCAUAGGCAUCGCGAUUCUUAUCAGCCUUUCGACUUCAAGGUCGAAAUUCCUGAAUUUGAAGGAAGAAUGCAACCAGACGAGUUUGUUGAUUGGCUUAAUACUGUUGAACGCAUUUUUGAAUACAGAGAUGUGCCUGAAGAUCGCAAAGUGAAACUCAUUGCCAUUAAACUUAAAAAGUAUAUGCUUCUUUAUGGUGGGAAAAUCUUAAGAGGCAAAGGGAACGAGAGGGACGGAGGAAAAUUGUUACUUGGGAGAAAAUGAAAAAAGAGCUUAAGAGAAAGUUUUUGCCCGAUAACUACAGGCAAGAUAUCUACCUUAAGUUCCACAACUUCAGGCAAAAGGAAUUGUCAGUGGAAGACUAUACAGCAGAGUUCGACAACCUAAUGAUGAAGUGUGAUUUGGUAGAGGCGGAAGAGCAUACGAUUGCACGCUAUCUGGGUGGUUUGAAACCUGAGAUUGGUAAUGUGGUCCAGCUCCAACCAUAUUGGACUUAUAGUGAUGUAUGCAGACUUGCUCUUAAGGUGGAAAAGCAACAAAAAGAUGCUCGUGGUGGGGGUAUUCGGUUUACAGUUCGUGAUGUCAAUCGAGGGAGUGGCUCCGUUUCUAAGCAUAAUUCUGGUUCGAAUUCUACUGCAAAGAAAAUUACGAGGAAUGAUAUUGGGGAAGGAUCUAAACAGCGAGCAAGUGGUUCGAAUGCUAGUUCUCGUCAAUGUUUUAAAUGCCAUGGUUAUGGGCACAUUGCUUCUGAGUGUCCUAAUCGUAGGGUGGUUGCCCUUGUUGAAGAGGAAAGCGAUGACGAGGAUGCGGAAGAUCAUGAGAAUCCUAGUGUCGAAAAGGGUGUUGAAGAUGGAGAAGUUACAUAUGCUGAUGAUGGAAACUCUCUAGUUAUUCAAAAGAGUUUGAGUAUUGUUUGUGAAUAUGGGGAAGAUUGGCUGAGAAAGAAUAUCUUUCACACCAGAUGCACUUGUCAUGGAAAGAUAUGUAAUGUCAUUAUUGAUAGUGGUAGUUUUGAGAAUGUGGUAGCAACUGAAAUGGUGAAGAAGUUGAAGCUCAAAACGGAGCAGCAUCCUUAGCCUUAUAAACUUUCUUGGCUUAAAAAGGGAAAUGAGAUUGAGGUAAACACACGUUGCCUUAUUUCAUUUUCUAUUGGGAAUAAAUAUAAAGAUGAAGUUUGGUGCGAUGUUGUCCCUAUGGAUGCAUGUCACUUGCUUUUAGGUCGUCCUUGGCAGUACGAUAGAAGGGUUGUUCAUGAUGGUUAUAGGAAUACUUAUACUUUCAUUAAAGAUGGAAGUAAAGUCAUUAUUGGUCCUUCAAAGGAAGAGAAAAGUCCCAAACCUAUUAAAGGAGUGGAAAACAAUUUGCUGAAUGUUUCAGAUUGUAAAAAAGAAUUUGAAAUGGGUAGUGAAGUUUACGUGCUGGUGGUGUUUGAGGAAAAUGAAGAUAGCAAUGAGCCGCCUCUGAUUAUGAAGUAUUUGCUUGAAGAAUUCUCAGAUGUUGUUCCAGAAGAAUUACCACAUGGCCUUCCUCCCAUGAGGGACAUUCAACAUUGCAUUGAUCUUAUUCCGGGUUCUGUACUACCAAAUAAAGCGGCUUAUCGAAUGAAUCCAAAGGAGCACGAAGAAUUAUAGAGGCAAGUUGAAGAGCUUAUAGGGAAAGGGUUGGUGAGAGAUAGCAAAAGUCCUUGUGCUGUUCCUGCCUUAUUGGUACCAAAGAAAGAUGGGUCUUGGCGUAUGUGUGUUGACAGCAGAGCAGUGAAUAAGAUAACGAUUGAUUAUCGUUUCCCUAUUCCACGCCUUGACGAUCUUCUAGACCAGCUCUAUGGUGCUACAAUCUUUUCUAAGAUCGAUCUUCGAAGUGGCUAUCAUCAAAUCAGAAUGAGACCUGGUGACGAAUGGAAAACGGCCUUCAAAACGAGGGAUGGACUUUAUGAAUGGAUGGUUAUGCCAUUUGGUCUAUCUAAUGCCCCAAGCACUUUCAUGCGGUUGAUGAAUCACGUUUUUAAGCCUCUGAUUGGUAGAUUUGUUGUUGUGUAUUUUAAUGAUAUCCUUGUGUACAACCAAAAUGAAAAACAACACUUGGAGCAUCUUUGCCAAGUCUUCGAGAUUUUGAGAAAUCAAAAGCUUUAUGUCAACUUGAAAAAGUGCAGGUUCUUCACAUAUAGCCUUGUCUUUUUGGGUUAUGUUGUAUCGAAAGAUGGAAUUAAAAUGGAUCCAAGCAAGGUGGAGGCCAUUUUGAGCUGGCCAAUUCCUAAGUCGCUACAUGACAUCUGAAGUUUUCAUGGUCUUGCUUCUUUUUAUCGACGAUUUAUUAGAGGGUUCAGUAUAAUUGUUGCUCCAGUAACUGAAUGCUUGAAAGGAGAAGGUUUCAAAUGGACCAAGGAGGCACAAGAGAGUUUUGACAUCAUCAAGAGAAAGGUGACUGAAGCGCCUGUUCUUUCACUUCCAGAUUUCAGCAAGGUGUUUGAAGUUGAGUGUGAUGCCUCUAAUACUGGAAUUGGUGCUGUACUCAGCCAAGAAAGGAAACCAGUUGCUUUCUUUAGUGAAAAAUUGAAUGACUCCCGCAGAAAGUACUCAACUUAUGACAAAGAAUUGUAUGCUAUUUGCCGAGCUUUGAACCAUUGGAGUCAAUAUUUGCUUUCAAGGCCAUUUAUUCUCUUCUCUGACCAUGAGGCACUAAAGUUUAUCAAUAGUCAGCAGAAGCUUAGUAGAAAACAUGCCGGAUGGGUGGAAUUUCUUCAAGCUUACAAUUUUACCAUCAAGCAUAAAUCGGGUGCUCAGAAUGUUGUGGCUGAUGCUUUAAGUCGAAAACAUUCAUUGCUUUCUUCUAUGCAAGUGAAGGUUGUAGGCUUUGAAAUUUUGAAAGAGCUAUACAAGGAUGAUUCUUUCUUUGGCAGGAUUUGGAGAGAAUGUGAGAAUGGAUCAUAUGAUCAGUACCAAUUACAUGAUGGCUUUCUUUUCAAGGGGAAUCGUUUAUGUAUUCCUCAGUGUUCUUUGCGGGAAUCUAUUAUCAUGGAGGCACAUGGCAGUGCUGUUGGAGGUCACUUUGGAAGGGAUAAGACGUUAGCUUGCUUGCAAGGUAAUUUCUAUUGGCCAAAGAUGGAUAAAGAUGUUGUGCAUCAUGUGCAGAGGUGUAAAAUCUGUCAUAUUGCCAAAGCUCAUGGUCAAAACACAGGCCUAUACAAUCCUUUACCAGUCCCUGAAGCUCCUUGGGAAGAUGUUAGUCUAGACUUUGUUGUUGGGUUGCCAAGAACUCAAAGAAAUAAAGACUCUGUCAUGGUGGUGGUUGACCAAUUCUCAAAAAUGGCUCAUUUUGUUCCGUGUAACAAGACAUUGGAUGCCUCUCAUGUGGCUGAUUUGUACUUCAAGGAGAUUGUGAAGCUACAUGGAAUUCCGAAAACCAUUGUCUCUGAUCGGGAUUCAAAGUUUUUGAGUCACUUUUGGCGUACUCUUUGGAAGAAGUUGGGAACCACUCUUAAAUUCAGCUCUUCUCAUCAUCCUCAAACUGACGGUCAGACUAAAGUGAUGAAUCGAAGCUUGGGAAAUCUCUUGAGACGUUAUGUGGGCAAGAACAUUCGUCAAUGGGAUCUUAUUUUGCCUCAGAUUGAAUUUGCUUACAAUCACUCCAUACAUCAAACUACUGGUUCAAGUCCCUUUGAAGUAGUUUAUGGCAAGAAUCCAAUCAGUCCUUUGGAUUUGGCUCCACUUUUGACCGAUCAUCAAUUUAGUGGAGAGGCUGAAGAACGCUCUAAAAGUAUCAAGAAGAUGCAUGAACAGGUUCGAGAUAGAAUAUUGAAGCAAAAUGAGAAGUAUAAAAAAUCUGCAGACAAGCAUCGAAGACAUGCUAAGUUUCAGGAAGGAGAUUUGGUUUGGGUUCAUCUUAGGAAAGAUCGUUUUCCACCUGGGAAAUUUGCUAAACUUAGACCAAGGGCUGAUGGACCAUUUAAAGUGUUGCAACGCAUUGGUGAUAAUGCUUACAAGAUUGAGCUACCAGAUGGCUAUGGUGUUUCGUCAACGUUCAACAUAUCAGACUUGUCUCCUUAUCAUGAAGAAAAUGAUCAAAACUCGAGGUCGAAUUUUUUUCAACUAGGGGAGAUUAACACAGGAGUGUUUGAAAUAUUUGGUAAUCAAGUUAUACCAAGUGCAGCUCAAGUUCUUACAUUAAUCAAGUGAGCAGAAUUUCUGUGCAGAAGGGGCAUCUUUGGGAAUUAAACUGUACUGCAUGAGAUCGAAUUAAUUUUCGAGCCAUACAUCAUUGGAAAUAUAUUUCUGUUAGCUUUCCAAUGAAUUUUACUAAUCUAAAUUUGGAGUUUUCUACAGUAAGUUAUGAUCAGUUAAGUGCAGACUGUUCAGUUUUGAGUCAAGAAGAAUAUUUCGGGACUUAGAUUUUUUUUAAUGUUCUUUGUUGUGUUUUAAGCAUACCAAUGUUUUAUUAAUGUCUAGCUUUAAUGUUGGUCUUUAAAGUCAAGUUAUUUGAAGGGUUUCUUUGUAGUAAAUCUAUGCUUGGAGGAUUGUUCCAAGAAAGUUAUUUAAGCUUAUGUAGUUGUAACAAAAAGACACAGAUUAAUUUUGGAAAUUGAAUGAACUUUGAGCUAUUAUCAAACUCUGUAUCUCUUUGGUGGAUUCCAUUGAGUGGUGAGUGUUUUAAGCUCUGUAUCCGUAGCUUAACAACUUUAGGUGGUGAAUAUUUUUCUGUAUCCUUUUGUUGUUUGCUGUGGUGGUGAGCUUGUGAUUUCUUGAGUGUGUGACGUUGUGCUUUCUCAUCUAUUGUGUCCGGUGUCAUACCCACGUAUUUUUUAACCACAAUUCCCAGCUUCCCUUUUAUAUAUGUCGGCAUCAGCUGAUCAGCAUGAAUUAAGAGUUCAUAACCAAACUGAAAUAGAUAUCCAAAGUUUAGUGUUACUGAGAAAUAUGAGUUCUAGGAUUUAUUUUAUGCUCGUCGCGAUAUUUACUGUCGCUGGAGUUUUUCAAUUUUCCGGCCAAGUUUCCGGCGCACAACACUGUGGAAUGAAUACAAAUGUUCUGGGCCAGCUUGUAUCACAAUGUGAGAAAUAUGUGUUGAAAUCGGGGCCGAAGAUUCGGCCAUCUCCUGGUUGUUGUGCGGUUGUGAAGAAGGUUGAUGUGCCAUGUGUGUGCAAGUUUGUGACAAAGCAGAUUGAAGAAAUUAUAAGCAUUGAGAAGAUGGUUUAUGUGGCCAGGUCAUGUGGCAUAAAGAUUUCUGCUGGGACAAAAUGUGGAAGUAAGUAAAGAACAGUACUCGUGCAAUUAUCAAUAAAUUCUAUUAAGAAUGAUAAUGCACUUCUCAAACAGUAUCUCGACUUUAUUUCUCAUAAGUGAUGCGGCAUCUAUCUGUAAAAUAAUAAUAUGAACUAAUAAGUAAUCUUAUAGGUUCAUGAAAUUGGCAUUCAAUUGAUGGUCAUAUAUCAUCUCAGUAUUUGCGAUGAAUAUACUGAAAACUACUUAGGAAGUGCAGCAUUAUUCUUUCAUUAAUUUUGAUUUACAUUCACACAAAUUGUUAAAGGUCAGUUUUCUUUGUGGUUCUUCGAAGAAAGAAAUUUUAGUUUGUGACUAUGUUAGUUUUUUAUUUCUGUAAUAACACUCGAUCUCUUACUAAAAUUUAUUGAAGAAUGCAAGAGAGAUUUGAGAAAUUUUCUCCUGUAAUGGACGUCAAAUUAAGUCCAAUAUGGUGAAGAAUAAAUUUGCUAAUGCUGUGUUGUAAUUAAUUGUCUUAGGCUUCACUGUCCGAUCUGCUUGAAAAUGGGAGUGCAUGAAUGUCUGAAGCACUGGGAGGCAGCUAGGUUUUGUGACGAGUCUGUUGAUGUUAUAAGAGGCAGGUUUCAUGGUGUUGUGUUAAUGUGCUGAUCGAUUUAUAUUUACUUUCUUAUUCUAUGUUUCUUGAUUUUAAUAAUAAUAAUAAAAAUAAAAAGAGGCAAUUCUAAUCAAUUUCUUACAAAACAACGGAUUAUUUGGUCUUUUGUAUAUAUUUUGUCAAAAUUUAUCAAAGAAGCAUUCCGAUUUCCGAUAAUCCGAUUUGUGCUCUAGAGCAAUUCAAAUUGGCUUUCCAAAUACAGUGCGUGGAUGAGUUUGAAAAUCUAAAAUAAAUAAUAGAAAAAUGAAGAACAAGUAAUCCCAAAUUCAAUUUCAUCCAUUUCAGCCUCUGAUCAUAGAAAAUUCUUGAAGAACGAUCACGGUAAAAAUUUUAUAGAUAAACAAGCAAGAAUCAAAAAAUUAAAUUAAUAAUUUUAUUAAUCUAAAUUACCAAAUUAAUAAAAAAAGAUGAAAAACAAAACCAAAAUUAUUGUUAAAGGGUAUUAGUGUAAAAGCAAACAAAAAGAAAUAAAAAAUAAUCGUAGAGGUAUCAUUAAUUAAACGAGCACCAAUAUCAAAAUAUAGAGGGCAAAUGGAAUUUUACCUCUAAUAAAAUGAACUAUUACCCCAUGCGAUGUUGGAAGAAAAAUAUAAAAUAAUCGAUUAACAUUAUAGUUCAUUUUGUUGUUGUAUCAUUCUUUAGUAUAAAAUAGUCACUUGAACAAAAACCAUAAAAUUUUCCCAAAAAAUAAGAAGUGGGUACGUUUCUAUGCAUGCAUGUAGCUAUGGGAAUUGAAAAUAUAAAAGUUCAAGGGAAAUGAAUAAAUUGCUGGCAAGAGGAAUGUUAUGAUGAACAAACCUUUCAGCAAGCACAGCUGAACCCUCUUCAAACAACUCCUCCACAACCCAACAGCAGCGAGCUUGCUGAUGUUUUUUUCAUAGAAUCCUGAGCUUUCUUCACAAAGAUAAGUGAACUUGUAACCAUAAUUAACCAUAACAGAAUCAUGGUUAUAACAAAGUGGGCUUUAUAGCUUUAAAAAAUAUAAACUGAUGUGAAAAUUUAAGCUUAAUGGUAUACUAAGUUUACUAAAAAAUCUAAACAUUUAAUAUACAUGAAUUAUGGUUUUAAUACACAAAUCAUAAUAAUACAUGGAGAAAAAAUGAACCCAAUGAUUAUAGGAAAAUUAGAAAAAAAAAAUGGAUGAAACUUUUACCGGCAAAGAAAAGAACAAGUAGUCAAGUAGCCAAAACGUUGAGAACCUUCAUGUUGAAGUAUGCUUUGCUAAAAUUUAUAAGGGCUUAGAAUUUUGAGUCAGACUCUGAUGAGGAAAAUGGACAUGGUUCUAAUAGAGGAAAUGGUUGUAAAAAGGAGUCCUUUGUAGCUAGAAAAUACACAUAAAAAAAAAAAAUUGGGGUUAAGAAAUUUUCUUCCCCAUCUUCAAGAGAAUGGAGAGGAGAUUUUACUAUCUCACUGCAGCAUUCAUGGUCAUUGAUGUCACCAGUGAUUGCCAUUUCUUUUUGUUCACUUACGGCAUUAGAUGUGAGUGAAGGUUGCUGAAGUUUCGAGAGGAUAGUGGCAGUGGACGUUGUUGGUUGGUUUGCAUGGGGUUGGAUUUGAGAUGGAGGGUCUGUAUGAGAGUGGUUUGGUUUGAUUCGCGGUGAUGGCAAUUGGACAUCCGGAGGUGGUUCGUUGGUGAAUUUUGGGGGUCGUCUAAAUGAUUUCUUAGGAGGGUUCAAACUCCUGAUAAUUCGUUCAUCGGCAGAGAGGGUGUGGACCGGUGAUGGCUGGUUGCCAUCACCGGCGGCCGGAGAGGCCAUUAAGGCCGCUUAAGGCUUUUUUUUGGGGGGGGGGGGGAGGGGGGAGACGUGGAGAGGUUUUUUUCUACUCCUGCAUUUGCUGCAUGUAUGUCUAAUUGCUUCCAAAAAUCAAAUCUUUAAUGCUUCCAAAAUUGAGCUCUUUUAUGCCCUUUUUAUCCAUAAUCUCAAAUUAAUUCUCUAUUCAAUAAAAUAAUGCAAUUAAUUAAAAAUAAGAAAUAAAAAUAACUAACAAAUAUAUAAUAAAGAGUAAAAUAUGUAUAUAAAUUAUGAACAUCAUGCAUUGACACAGUUUUUACUCUUUGAUUAUUGGAUAUCCCUGACUUUAAGUUCAUCGAGUUCUAAACUAGGGAAAUUUAUACAAAAUGCUAUCAAUGAAAUACACAAAAUUCAGCCUCACGAAAGUUAUACAAAAUGCUAUCAAUGAAAUACAUUCAGGAUUAACAAUCACGUUGAUCAAUCAAAAACUUCCCUUGGUCUAUAAGUUCUGAUAUGGAAAUUUCUUGAACAUCAGGUUUUCCCAAUGGUGAUUUCCCUGAGAGAAAUUCUUGAGAUAUGCACUUCAUUGUAGGUCGAGACUUGGGUUUUGACUGCAAGCAGGCAAAUGCAACAAUUGAAACAAGAAUGAUAUCCUGAACAACCUUUCGAUCAACCGGAGGCGGCAGACGUUGGUCUAAAACAUCGAUCAACCUAAUCUUUCGAUCACAUGAUGAUGACAAAGAUGUAGGAUCUGUUGGAUGACUUCCCAUUAAUACUUCUAGUGCCACUACUCCAAAGCUAUAAACAUCACAUUUCUCUGUCACGGCCAUAGUGUAGGCAAGUUCUACAGCAAAAUUGAACCCAUUGUAAAAUUUAUUUACACAAGUAAAUAACAAUUAAGGAAAAAAAAGAAACAAAGAUUUGAUUCUCUGUUUCUGAGAGCUUCUGCAGAUAAAUAUUUAAGAGAUAUAUUAUUAAAUUUUGCUUACAUUUAGUGUAUAAACAUGGGUAAGAUGCGCGAAAAGAAUAGCGAAAAUUUACCUGGAGCAAUAUAUCCAUAUGUCCCGACCACUAGAGUUCUGUUGGAGGAAUCUGGAUGCAGGAGCCUAGCCAAACCAAAAUCAGCAACAAAUGCCUCUAGGUUUGAAUUAAGUAGAAUGUUAUUGCUGCAUAUGUCGCGGUGGACAAUUGGUGGCUUGCAGUCAUAAUGCAAGUAAGACAAAGCAUGAGCCAUACUCUUUACAAUGUUCACUCUCUUAGUCCAAUCCAGCUCAACAGCUUCAACGUCAUUGCGUAACACACAGAACAAGCUUCCCCGCUCCAUGUACUCAUAGAUCAAAAACAUGCACUUGUUAUGCAAACAAAAACCAUAAAGCUUCACUAUAUUACGAUGCCGUAUUUGGGAUAGUAGACGAGCUUCAGUUUGAAAACUUUCUAGGAAGGCUAGCUCCUCUGUCUCUGAACGGUGAAGUUUCUUCAAAGCGACUACUCUUCCACUAGACAAUUGUGCUCUGUAAACGCUGCCAUAACCUCCAGUUCCAAUGCAAUAUUUGAUGUGGAAAUCCUCUGUCGCUUGAAUCAUCUCUUCAAAUGUAAUUCUACCAUCAUAACUCCAUAUGGAGAACUCAUCAGCCCCCUUGGUCAUUUCUCGGGUAUUAGGACUAAUUUUCUCAUCCCUUCGUCUGUGGACAAACAAGAUUCCAAGAAUUAGGGCAAGAAAUGCGAACAUUGGAAGAACAAUCGUAACCAAGCGAGUGACGAUCUUUUGGUGUUGUUCUUUGUUGCCUUUAAAAUGUUGUGCUUGGUGUGGUGGUGCAUUUUCUGAAAUAACUGGGUUUUCUACCUCUAGAUUAUUUUCUGACCAUUUUAAUCCGGGCACUCUCAAGACAGAUUUGGGGAUAACGCCGGAGAGGUUAUUCUUGGAAAGAUCCACGGCAGAAAUGUUUGGAAUUUUUCCGAGUUGUGAAGGUAUCGUGCCAUUUAUGAAGUUACGGCUUAAAUCAAGUUGUCUCAAAAAUAUAAGGUUGCCUAUCUCCGAUGGAAUGCUUCCGCUUAAACUGUUGUGGGUUAAUACCAAGUUCAGUAACUGCGAGCAAUUCAUGAGUUGUAGAGGGAUGGAGCUGUUGAGCUGAUUGUAACCAAGAUUCAAAGAGGUGAGGUUCGUUAAAUAACCAAUUGUUGAAGGAAUAGGUCCAAUCAGAUUGUUCGUAUCAAGAGAUAGAGAAUCAAGGUUCCUCAGAUUUCCAACUUCUCGAGGCAGCAGACCACUAAGUUGGUUUGAAGAAAGAUCCAGAGAGGUUAAGUUGGUUAAAUUUCCUAUGGUCGGUGGAAUUGGACCAUUAAGUCUGUUGUGAGACAAGUCCAACUUUUCCAACGAGUUUAAAUAACCAAUGGUCGAAGGAAUAGGUCCAGUGAGAUUGUUCCUAUUUAGAAGCAGAGUCUUAAGAUUCUUCAUAUUUCCAACUUCUCUAGGCAGUGGACCGACAAGAUUGUUGUAAGCCAAGUACAAAACUCUUAACUGAUUUAAAUGAUAAAGUGUUGAAGGAAUAGGUCCAGUUAGAUUAUUAUUAUCUAGAUACAGAGAGAAAAGAUUCUUCAGAUUUCCAACUUCUCGAGGCAGCCGACCACUAAGUUUGUUUAGAGAAAGGUCCAAAAUUGUCAGCUUGGUUAAAUUACCUAUGCUCGAUGGGAUUAGACCAUCUAGUUUGUUACCUCGCAGAAUCAGGGAAUGAGGAUUCUUCAAAUUUCCAAUUUCUAAGGGGAUAGCACCAUUG
Molecule: long non-coding RNA, 24183 nt
Filed under: Citrus maxima (pomelo)
Lineage: Eukaryota; Viridiplantae; Streptophyta; Magnoliopsida; Sapindales; Rutaceae
Description: long non-coding RNA (CMAX_LNC000519)
Source: RNAcentral